This 1460-nucleotide ribosomal RNA is filed under the name Triticum aestivum (bread wheat). RNAcentral's name for it is "partial small subunit ribosomal RNA". The record is from RNAcentral. Lineage: Eukaryota; Viridiplantae; Streptophyta; Magnoliopsida; Poales; Poaceae.
UUCCCCCAAAAUCGACCGCUGCUUUUCCCCCAAAUUAGGCGGGUCGCCAAAAUCCUCGGUGCCCGUCCACCACUCGUACGCAAUCCCACUCCCCAUCUCCUCGCUCCCCUCCCCCGCCCACUUCACCGCCGGCGACCGCGACGGCUCAUCUCCUCCCUCCUACAUCACCGCCGCCUGCAACCACCGGCGACCUUUCUCAUGGGCUCAACCCUAUCCCCCACCCUCCCCUCACGUUCUCUCCCAGAUCGGAUCGGAUCGAGAAUCAGCAGGCCAUGGAGUUGGUGAAGUUGUCCCUCCUUCGUCAACUUGGUUAGAGGUCCAAGUUCGAGGGACCUGACGAGAAAGAGGACAAGGACCACCGGGAACCAAGACCUCCAUAUAGCCAUGGCAAUAGCCGCACCUUCCCCUUCCACAAGGUGUAGUAGGUGUUCAUGGAAAAAGACAGAAAUUUUUAGGAGAUGAGGAGUUACUGAAACAUUGGCUGCAGUGCAAGGCCUCAAUGUGGCCAAAUCAACUCAAUGGUAUGUUGUGCUGGGCACUCAAUCAUUAUGUGAAGAGUUGUGAGUUUGCACUGCUACUAUUUGAAGAAACUGUAAAUUUUGAGACUUUAGUUGCUAGGGACGGAAAGCUGGAUGUCUGGUGUAUGUUUAGUACAGGUAGAAAUUUUCUACCCUACCACUUGUUGUCGUACAUGCUGGUUCUAGUUCAUGUGUUGGAUGCCUCAGACCUAGUUACAUAAUGAUACGUCUCCAACGUAUCUACUUUUCCAAACACUUUUGCCCUUGUUUUGGACUCUAACUUGCAUGAUUUGAAUGGAACUAAUCUGGACUAACGCUAUUUUCAGCAGAACUACCAUGGUGUUAUUUAUGUGUAGAAGGAAACGUUCUCAGAAUGACCUAAAACUUCACGGAGACAUUUUUCAGAAAAUAAGAAAAAUACCUUCCAAAGAUGAAGGCCAGGGGGGCCACCACCUUGCCAUGAGGGUGGGGGGCGUGCCUCCCCCCUAGGGCGCGCCUCCCUACCUCGUGGGCCCCCUAUUGCCUCUCCGACUCCAACUCCACCUUCAUAUAUUGAGUUUUAGGGAGAAACAAAUCAGAGAGAAGAAAUCAUCGCAUUUUACGAUACGGAGCCACCGCCAAUCCCUAAAACCUCUCGGGAGGGCUGAUCUGGAGUCCGUUCGGGGCUCCGGAGAGGGGAAUCUGUCGCCAUCGUCAUCAUCAACCAUCCUCCAUCACCAAUAUCAUGAUGCUCACCGCCGUGUGUGAGUAAUUCUAUCGCAGACUUGCUGGACGGUGAUGGGUUGGAUGGGAUCUAUCAUGUAAUCGAGUUAGUUUUGUUAGGGUUUGAUCCCUAGUGUCCACUAUGUUUUGAGAUUGAUGUUGCUAUGACUUUGCUAUGCUUAAUGCUUGUCACUAGGGCUUGAGUGCCAUGAUUUCAGAUAUGAACCUAUUAUGUUUUCA